Molecule: long non-coding RNA, 1968 nt
Organism: Olea europaea var. sylvestris
Lineage: Eukaryota; Viridiplantae; Streptophyta; Magnoliopsida; Lamiales; Oleaceae
Exons: 5
Source: RefSeq, a predicted model, not a curated record
UUACAAAACAAAACUUAGCCCAUAUAAAACUAUACUUACGAGACCUAUCCAUAUAUUAAUCCCAUGUAAACUACAAAACUCUUUUCUUCGUCUUCAUUUGAUACAUUCAAGCGACGGCUAAAAUGGCAGGUCAUUGCAAUUAAAAUAGAAGAUGGAGCCACCUCCUUUGAAACCCUAAAACUCCGGCCAACCACCACCCAACCCAUCGAACCACCAUACCAUUAGAAAGCCCUCAUCACACUCUACAAUUCUCACCCACCAUCUUUAUUCAAAAUCACUAGAAUUCGCCCAAAUAUUGAGCUAAAAUGAGCUACCCACGUGCAUCAAAACUGCUGAAAUCACCUCCUCCAGCAACACCAAUGUAAUGCCCAUCAUCCCAGAUGAUUAUUCACACCAGGGCGAUCCUUUCCAUGGUCUACAACUGCCCCUAAUUCACAGAAUAGAAAUCAAUAGGCUGCCCAUUCGAAGACAGUGUAGACGCAGCUUUCAGGGCAUUUUUUCAGCAUUGGUAGUGAGACCCAUGAUCGCAGACCACCACUAUAGGCCAAAACUCAUCAUGGCACAUCUACUGGGCAUAUGGGUCUUCCUCAAUUUAGUGUUGAAAUGGUAGAUUGUUCAGAAACGGCACACGGGUAUAUUAACCGGUUUGAUCUCCUUUCAAUUGGCAACCCUCCUCAACUCCAAUAUACAAAUUGCAUCAACCAUCAUGCAUAGUUAUCAAACCCGGAUCGGACCGGCCGGUUCAAUCCGGAACCCGUCGAACCGGACCCAGAUCCAGUCCGAUUGUGAGGAAUUUAUGGAUGAAAAAUCAGCCCGUCAACAACCCGCUAGAAUCGCCGGUUUUACAUAGAACCGGGGUACCGACUUUUUAUUGACCCGACCGGUUCUUAAGUAACCGUGUUUCACUUUCCUUUCCUCACAGAUUCCUUCCAGUUUUCUUCCCCACUCCGUCUCCUCACAAUUUCUAACUUCUAAGACAUUAGGGAUUCUUGCAAAAUUAAAAACCUCAGCCGCCGUCUCAAUCUCUUGCAAUUCAACAACUCCCAAGAAUCAAAAUCUCCAAUUUCAAGUUUUAAAAGAUGGAAGAGCAGGAAUUGACCCGCCGGUUGAACCACCGGGUCACCGGUUAAACCACUGACCCGUUGACCCACUACAUUGUCCGGGUUGAGGUUCGAUCCGAGUCUGAUAACUAUGCUCACAGGGCUUACCACUAGAUCCAAUCAAGGUAGAAGUUCCCAACACAUAUCAGAGAGUAAAUGUAAGUACAUAAGCUUUACUCCUUUUUCAUUUGAAGUUUUUAGGGGGAAAAAAUAGAAACUUCACUAGUAAAGUGGUUCAUAAGUCGACUAGUUUAGAACUUUAUUGUGUGGAUCUUUGAGAUUGAUCCCGGUAGUUUCUUUGCAGCUUUGAUUCAAUAACUACGCUUAGAUAAUUCUACAUCGCAUAUGCAGUGCAUUGUCAUUGUUUCAUCUUUAUCUUAUUAUAUAUGAAGAGCACGCAUCUUAUCAUGGUGCUUGUAAAGUUUAACUGAUGUGACUGGACUUUCACGACUACAGUGAAAUGUCAUUAGCUUAUAGGCCAUCUCAUGCUGAUGCAACUUAUGAUUUCAAGUAUGGCGUGAAAUCAGUGCAGGGUAGUGGUAGAUCUGCUACAAGAGACAUUGGGAGAGUUGUCGCUAGAGCUGUUGCUAAGAAAAUUUUAAAUCAAUAUUCAGGAACAGAGGUGAUCUCUUUGAUAUUGUGAUGAAAGAGCAUAUAUAUCUUUCAAAACAUUUUUGUUGGGUACUGCUUCAUAUGUAGUCACCAUGAUCUCAAGUAUACAAUAUACGAUUAUAGGACUUUGCAUGUUCUUGUGGAUAAUCCUAUUAACUUGUAAGUAGUGCUUGUUCUCGCAUUUUGGAAUUUUCUCUAGGGGUUUUAUAAUGAUUUGAUUUUGAUUGUAAAUGUAACGACCCAAAAAUUAAGAAUU